UCCCUGAUAGCUCAAUUGGCAGAGCAUCUGACUGUUAAUCAGAGGGUUCCUGGUUCGAGUCCAGGUCGGGGAG
RNAcentral lists this transfer RNA (73 nucleotides) under Propionibacterium sp. oral taxon 192 str. F0372. It matches the Rfam family "tRNA". From Rfam's summary of the family: Transfer RNA (tRNA) molecules are approximately 80 nucleotides in length. Their secondary structure includes four short double-helical elements and three loops (D, anti-codon, and T loops). The record is from Rfam by way of RNAcentral. Lineage: Bacteria; Bacillati; Actinomycetota; Actinomycetes; Propionibacteriales; Propionibacteriaceae.